This 496-nucleotide ribosomal RNA is filed under the name uncultured bacterium. Its description in RNAcentral is "partial 16S ribosomal RNA". It matches the Rfam family "Bacterial small subunit ribosomal RNA", at positions 28 to 506 of the family's 1533-position model. The record is from RNAcentral.
GAUGAACGCUGGCGGCGUGCCUAAUACAUGCAAGUCGAGCGAACAGACGAGGAGCUUGCUCCUCUGACGUUAGCGGCGGACGGGUGAGUAACACGUGGAUAACCUACCUAUAAGACUGGGAUAACUUCGGGAAACCGGAGCUAAUACCGGAUAAUAUAUUGAACCGCAUGGUUCAAUAGUGAAAGACGGUUUUGCUGUCACUUAUAGAUGGAUCCGCGCCGCAUUAGCUAGUUGGUAAGGUAACGGCUUACCAAGGCAACGAUGCGUAGCCGACCUGAGAGGGUGAUCGGCCACCCUGGAACUGAGACACGGUCCAGACUCCUACGGGAGGCAGCAGUAGGGAAUCUUCCGCAAUGGGCGAAAGCCUGACGGAGCAACGCCGCGGGAGUGAUGAAGGUCUUCGGAUCGUAAAACUCUGUUAUUAGGGAAGAACAAAUGUGUAAGUAACUAUGCACGUCUUGACGGUACCUAAGCAGAAAACCACGGCUAACUACGU